RNAcentral lists this ribosomal RNA (475 nucleotides) under uncultured bacterium. Its description in RNAcentral is "bacterial SSU rRNA". It matches the Rfam family "Bacterial small subunit ribosomal RNA", at positions 29 to 526 of the family's 1533-position model. The record is from RNAcentral.
AGCGAACGUUUGCGGCGGGCCUAACACAUGCAAGUCGAACGCACUAGCAAUAGUGAGUGGCGCACGGGUGCGUAACACGUGGGUAAUCAACCCUUCAGCCUGGGAUAACGACUCGAAAGGGUCGCUAAUACCGGAUACGGCGCGAGAGGCUUCGGCUUCUCACGAGAAAGCCACGGCAAGGGGCACUGAAGGACGAGCCUGCGGCCCAUCAGCUAGUUGGUGAGGUAAGAGCUCACCAAGGCUAAGACGGGUAGCUGGUCUGAGAGGAUGAUCAGCCACACUGGAACUGAGACACGGUCCAGACUCCUACGGGAGGCAGCAGUGGGGAAUAUUGGACAAUGGGGAACCCUGAUCCAGCAAUGCCGCGUGAAUGAAGAAGGCCUUAGGGUUGUAAAGUUCUUUUGUCCGUGACGAUAAUGACGGUAGCGGACGAAUAAGCCCUGGCUAACGUCUGUGCCAGCAGCCGCGGUAAAGU